CCUCGGAGAGUUCAGCUGGAGAGAAGUCUGCUCUGGGUCCUUUCAUGGUUUCCAAAACUUUUGACUGAAAUACAUGUGCAGCCUAAAAGUUAAGAGUUAUGAUUUAUUUGGCAGGAGGACUUGACCUGGGAUGACAGCCUCUCAGAUCUCUCUGAGGGACUGCUCAGAAGAGGUUCGGGAGGAACUAGGAUAUAUAGGAGCUUUACAACAAACACCGGGAAGUUGGAACAAUAAAAGAUUGCUUGUUAUCUAAAGAAAGCCAGACUGACUAUGGAUAAUCUGCAACCUUGGAAAGCAACCGAGAUGGAAUUACUGCAGUACGUUUUGGUUACUGAGACCCUCGAAUUCCCAUAUGAAUUGUAGUAGCAGCUAGUCAGUUUUUGCAGAGGAGCCUG
Camelus dromedarius (Arabian camel) is the source of this 395-nucleotide long non-coding RNA. RefSeq lists it as uncharacterized. NCBI's taxonomy places the organism in Eukaryota, Metazoa, Chordata, Mammalia, Artiodactyla, Camelidae. The transcript has 3 exons. The record is from RefSeq and is a predicted model, not a curated record.